RNAcentral lists this ribosomal RNA (435 nucleotides) under uncultured Roseburia sp. RNAcentral's name for it is "partial 16S ribosomal RNA". It matches the Rfam family "Bacterial small subunit ribosomal RNA", at positions 341 to 792 of the family's 1533-position model. The record is from RNAcentral. Lineage: Bacteria; Bacillati; Bacillota; Clostridia; Lachnospirales; Lachnospiraceae.
ACGGGAGGCAGCAGUGGGGAAUAUUGCACAAUGGGCGAAAGCCUGAUGCAGCGACGCCGCGUGAACGAAGAAGUAUUUCGGUACGUAAAGUUCUAUCAGCAGGGAAGAAGAAUGACGGUACCUGACUAAGAAGCACCGGCUAAAUACGUGCCAGCAGCCGCGGUAAUACGUAUGGUGCAAGCGUUAUCCGGAUUUACUGGGUGUAAAGGGAGCGCAGGCGGUAUGGCAAGUCUGAUGUGAAAGCCCGGGGCUCAACCCCGGUACUGCAUUGGAAACUACCAGACUAGAGUGUCGGAGAGGUAAGUGGAAUUCCUAGUGUAGCGGUGAAAUGCGUAGAUAUUAGGAGGAACACCAGUGGCGAAGGCGGCUUACUGGACGAUAACUGACGCUGAGGCUCGAAAGCGUGGGGAGCAAACAGGAUUAGAUACCCUGGUA